This 468-nucleotide ribosomal RNA is filed under the name uncultured bacterium. RNAcentral describes it as "bacterial SSU rRNA". It matches the Rfam family "Bacterial small subunit ribosomal RNA", at positions 328 to 792 of the family's 1533-position model. The record is from RNAcentral.
CGUCCAGACUCCUACGGGAGGCAGCAGUGAGGAAUAUUGGUCAAUGGGCGGGAGCCUGAACCAGCCAAGUCGCGUGAGGGAAGACGGUCCUAUGGAUUGUAAACCUCUUUAGGCGGGGAGCAAUGCCGGGCACGUGUGCCCGGAGGGAGAGUACCCGCAGAAUAAGCAUCGGCUAACUACGUGCCAGCAGCCGCGGUAAUACGUAGGUGGCAAGCGUUGUCCGGAUUUACUGGGUGUAAAGGGCGUGCAGCCGGAGAGACAAGUCAGAUGUGAAAUCCACGGGCUCAACCCGUGAACUGCAUUUGAAACUGUUUCCCUUGAGUGUCGGAGAGGUAAUCGGAAUUCCUUGUGUAGCGGUGAAAUGCGUAGAUAUAAGGAAGAACACCAGUGGCGAAGGCGGAUUACUGGACGAUAACUGACGGUGAGGCGCGAAAGCGUGGGGAGCAAACAGGAUUAGAUACCCUCGUA